RNAcentral lists this transfer RNA (76 nucleotides) under Candidatus Omnitrophota bacterium. RNAcentral describes it as "Candidatus Omnitrophica bacterium (sediment metagenome) tRNA-Lys". It matches the Rfam family "tRNA". From Rfam's summary of the family: Transfer RNA (tRNA) molecules are approximately 80 nucleotides in length. Their secondary structure includes four short double-helical elements and three loops (D, anti-codon, and T loops). The record is from RNAcentral. Lineage: Bacteria; Pseudomonadati; Candidatus Omnitrophota.
GACCGACUAGCUCAUCUGGUAGAGCACAGCCCUUUUAAGGCUGGCGUGCCGCGUUCGAGUCGCGGGUCGGUCACCA